UACAGAGGUGGCAAGCGUUGUUCGGAAUUACUGGGCGUAAAGGGCGCGUAGGCGGCCUUCUUAGUCGGACGUGAAAUCCCCAGGCUUAACUUGGGAACUGCGUCCGAUACUGGGAGGCUUGAGUGCGGGAGAGGGAUGUGGAAUUCCAGGUGUAGCGGAGAAAUGCGUAGAUAUCUGGAAGAACACCCGUGGCGAAGGCGGCUCUCUGGGACGGUACUGACGCUGAGACGCGAAAGCGUGGGGAGCGAACAGG
Molecule: ribosomal RNA, 253 nt
Filed under: uncultured bacterium
Lineage: Bacteria
Description: partial 16S ribosomal RNA
Rfam family: Bacterial small subunit ribosomal RNA
Source: RNAcentral